Molecule: long non-coding RNA, 2370 nt
Filed under: Prunus persica (peach)
Lineage: Eukaryota; Viridiplantae; Streptophyta; Magnoliopsida; Rosales; Rosaceae
Description: long non-coding RNA (PPER_LNC007038)
Source: RNAcentral
UUUAAAGUGUUUCUAUUCCUCAUCUCUACUUAUUUUCUUCAAUUCACUCUAAAUGAUCUCAUUGUUCCAUUUUGAUUGAAUACUAAGGAUGAUUCUCUUUGCAGAUAUCAGGUGCGUGCUCUCACCCAUGAAUGAACUCAUUGAAGUGAUGCUAGGCUCUGCGUGUAUAACCAUUUUCUGUGCUUUCUUUUCACCCUACCCAUUCGUGUGUUCCAUCAGCUCUCUUGCAGCCAAACACUACAAGCCUUUUUCUUCUAUCACCCUCAUAAUUCCCCUAACUUUGUAUCUCAAUCAGAGAUAUUUAACCUAUUGUAGCCAUACCCUAUAGCUUAGAAAUAUACCAAGGUGUGCGAAGAAAAAGUUUGAAGCAAGGAGGUUGCUGCCACAUGCCCAAAUGUAAAUUGGUGUGAAUCUAUGCAAUAAAGUUAAAGAAGAAGUAGAUCAAGUCAAAAAAAAAAAAAAGAUAAAGAGAAAGUGUUUCGAUUUGAUCUAAAUGUGAAAUAUAAAGUCUAUGCCAGAUGAUGCUAUGAAGUUGCAGCCAUACCAUUCUAAAUCAAUGAUACCUUGCAGAUCAGUGAAGAAUGCAACCUUGGUAUGUUCUUAAGUUAGUUGUGUUCCUUCCAAUUCUUCCACUUCCCUUAACCUUAGCCUUUCAUUACAACCUUGUGAAAGACCUAGCUGAUCUUUGAGGAUGUAUUCAUGGGUGCUGGUAUGUAUGUGUGUAUCUCUACUCUUAGUAUUUGAUUCCCUUCAUGAGAUCUAACCAAAUAUUGUGCUUCUAUUUCAUAUACUCACUUAUGCUUGUUUGAGAGAAUAAAACCAUAGGUUCUGAGUGAUUGAGUGCUAGAUGUGAGAAUUAGAGUUGAAGCAUGUUCUUCCUUUAAGAUUUGAGUAUGUUUACUUUGAAGCCGUGUGCCUUUGAGCUAUAGCUUCCACUUUACACGCUUAUUGAUCAUCUAUCUUGGUAACUCUAUGGUGUUGGAUGCAUGAUUAAAGUUUUCUUUCAUUAGUUGUUUUCAAAGUUAGUUUUCUAACCUUUUGGUGUUAGAGAGUCAGUAAAGCGUUUGUGGGUAUCGUUUCUGUUAAACCCUCAGGAGACACAACUCUUCCGAUUAGGGAUGCCGAGAGGUUUAAAGGCUUGUUGCAUAUGCACAUUGCAAUCGAGUUACCUACAGAAGUGGUUUAGUUAACUUCUUGUUUUGUUUUCAACUUUAUUCUCUUUUGUUUUGCUCGAGGACUAGCAAAAUCUAGGUCUGGGGGUAUUUGAUCAGUUCACAAUUGUAUAUCAUUUUGUACCCUUCUAGCUUAUGAUUUGGUUAUGUUAUUGAGUCAAACGUGUGCUUUUAAUCCCUUUUCUGUUUAUCAUUCAGUUCAUUGGGCCUUAGGUAGCAAUGGUGUCUUUGGAUAAGAAAAGAUGCAAAAUGGUGCAAAAACGAGCAGACUGGGUUAGCAACUCAUUUCGGCCUUAACAUCUUUCUCCGAACUUCGAUUGGCCCAAAUAAUAUGUAGUUGGAAAGAUGAGAGUCUGAACUUCAAGAUGGACUACUCAAAUGCAUCAGAUUAUGAAGUUGAGCCCAAUUCGUGAGCCCAUAUACACACCAGGCUCAGGAUUGCAGUUUCCAGUUGUUAAGCCUUGGAUACUUUCUUUGAGCCAUGUGACUCACCACAGCUUUCCUUGACUUUAGACCUGACAUGUUGAGCAAUUAAGGGAGGUCUGUCAGCUACUCAAGUGUAGAGGAGAGCCAUGUGACUCACCACAGCUUUCCUUGACUUUAGACCUGACAUGUUGAGCAAUUAAGGGAGGAGUGUCAGCUACUCAAGUGCAAAGGAGCCUUGACUUUAGACCAGACAUGUUGAGCAAUUUAGGGAGAAAUUUAGGGAGGUGUGUCAGCUACUCAAAGGCAAAGGAUUCACUCAAUUGACCAAUAAUUCACUCCAGCCAUCUUAUAUCACUCCAUUCAGCCCAAAAUCGGAGGGGGGGGAACAACUCCAACAAGCCUUCCUUCCAUUUCCUACGAAUUUGUUCUUUCUCUGCCAUCACCAACCACCCAAACUCAUCCCAAAUCACCUCUUUAGUUGCCAUACUCUAGACAUGAGAAAGUUCUUGGAGUAGCAUUAGACGUGGAGAAGCACCUGGAGAAGCCUUGGAAACCACAAGCAACUUCAGAAUUGGGUUUCUCUACUCUUAUUGCAUUCAAUAUGUUUUCUCAUUUUUGCUUAAGUUUCAUUUCCAUUAUGAGUAGCUAAAUUCAUAACUAGGGCUAUGAUGUAACCUAACAUGAAUAUUCUGGGUUUAUAAGUUGAAGUUUUGAGUUUCAAGUUUGAUUCAUGAUUCAUAUUCCUAUUCUUUAUGCUUAUCAGUUAAUAUGC